Long non-coding RNA from Marmota monax (woodchuck), 294 nucleotides. RefSeq lists it as uncharacterized. The transcript is spliced from 3 exons. NCBI's taxonomy places the organism in Eukaryota, Metazoa, Chordata, Mammalia, Rodentia, Sciuridae. The record is from RefSeq and is a predicted model, not a curated record.
UGACAGGAUGAGGACACAACUGUCACGGGUCUACGUGUGACAUCUGAGUUCUAUAAGGAAGUCCACAGGAGGCCAACAGCCCUGUUCUAAUGGGCCCAUUGAGAGCUGACGUUUCUGUUUCCUCAUGACUUUGGCAUCCACAUGACUUUGGCUUGCCCUGGGAUCUCCAGUGCCACCUUGACCUCAAGCUGCCCUGAGAUGAGCAGCUCUUCUCUACAAUAGGCUCCUCACCAUGAUGCCUGCCUUGCCACAGAUCCAAACACAGUGGAUCACAUGACCAUGGACUGAAACCCC